CCUGACGACCAUAGCAAGGUGGCCCCACUCCUUCCCAUCCCGAACAGGACAGUGAAACGCCUUCGCGCCGAUGAUAGUUGGUUUACGCCUGUGAAAGUAGGUCAUCGU
Molecule: ribosomal RNA, 108 nt
Filed under: Bordetella avium
Lineage: Bacteria; Pseudomonadati; Pseudomonadota; Betaproteobacteria; Burkholderiales; Alcaligenaceae
Source: RNAcentral